RNAcentral lists this non-coding RNA (28 nucleotides) under Homo sapiens (human). The record is from RNAcentral. Lineage: Eukaryota; Metazoa; Chordata; Mammalia; Primates; Hominidae.
UGAGUGUCCUCAUGGCAUGACAACUGGC